RNAcentral lists this ribosomal RNA (253 nucleotides) under uncultured Syntrophobacter sp. RNAcentral's name for it is "partial 16S ribosomal RNA". It matches the Rfam family "Bacterial small subunit ribosomal RNA", at positions 524 to 776 of the family's 1533-position model. The record is from RNAcentral. Lineage: Bacteria; Pseudomonadati; Thermodesulfobacteriota; Syntrophobacteria; Syntrophobacterales; Syntrophobacteraceae.
UACGGAGGGUGCGAGCGUUAUUCGGAAUUACUGGGCGUAAAGCGCGUGUAGGCGGGAGAGCAAGUCUGAUGUGAAAGCCCCGGGCUUAACCUGGGAAGUGCAUUGGAAACUGUUUUUCUUGAGUGCUGGAGAGGAAGGGGGAAUUCCCGGUGUAGAGGUGAAAUUCGUAGAGAUCGGGAGGAAUACCAGUGGCGAAGGCGCCCUUCUGGACGGCAACUGACGCUGAGACGCGAAAGCGUGGGGAGCAAACAGG